GAAAUGCGAUAAGUAAUGUGAAUUGCAGAAUUCAGUGAAUCAUCGAAUCUUUGAACGCACAUUGCGCCCGUCAGUAUUCUGGCGGGCAUGCCUGUUCGAGCGUCAUUUCAACCAUCAAGCCCCCGGCUUGUGUUGGGGACCUGCGGCUGCCCGCAGGCCCUGAAAAACAGUGGCGGGCUCGCUGUCACACCGAGCGUAGUAGCAUACAUUCUCGCUCAGGGCGUGCUGCGGGUUCCGGCCGUUAAACGACCUUCAUAACCCAAGGUUGACCUCGGAUCAGGUAGGAAGACCCGCUGAACUUAAGC
Molecule: unclassified non-coding RNA, 305 nt
Filed under: plant metagenome
Description: partial contains 5.8S ribosomal RNA, internal transcribed spacer 2, and large subunit ribosomal RNA
Rfam family: 5.8S ribosomal RNA (bases 1-105)
Source: RNAcentral